RNAcentral lists this small RNA (29 nucleotides) under Bombyx mori (domestic silkworm). RNAcentral's name for it is "ovarian small RNA-9101". Lineage: Eukaryota; Metazoa; Arthropoda; Insecta; Lepidoptera; Bombycidae. The record is from RNAcentral.
UGUGCAUAAAAUGUGGUAUAAGGCUUUGC